This 71-nucleotide transfer RNA is filed under the name Coleofasciculus chthonoplastes. It matches the Rfam family "tRNA". Rfam says of the family: Transfer RNA (tRNA) molecules are approximately 80 nucleotides in length. Their secondary structure includes four short double-helical elements and three loops (D, anti-codon, and T loops). The record is from RNAcentral. RNAcentral also lists the same sequence under 17 other names. Lineage: Bacteria; Bacillati; Cyanobacteriota; Cyanophyceae; Coleofasciculales; Coleofasciculaceae.
GCGGGCAUAGUUUAGUGGUAAAACCUCAGCCUUCCAAGCUGAUGAUGCGAGUUCGAUUCUCGCUGCCCGCU